GAUGAACGCUGGCGGCGUGCCUAAUACAUGCAAGUCGAGCGAACGGACGAGAAGCUUGCUUCUCUGAUGUUAGCGGCGGACGGGUGAGUAACACGUGGAUAACCUACCUAUAAGACUGGGAUAACUUCGGGAAACCGGAGCUAAUACCGGAUAAUAUUUUGAACCGCAUGGUUCAAAAGUGAAAGACGGUCUUGCUGUCACUUAUAGAUGGAUCCGCGCUGCAUUAGCUAGUUGGUAAGGUAACGGCUUACCAAGGCAACGAUGCAUAGCCGACCUGAGAGGGUGAUCGGCCACACUGGAACUGAGACACGGUCCAGACUCCUACGGGAGGCAGCAGUAGGGAAUCUUCCGCAAUGGGCGAAAGCCUGACGGAGCAACGCCGCGUGAGUGAUGAAGGUCUUCGGAUCGUAAAACUCUGUUAUUAGGGAAGAACAUAUGUGUAAGUAACUGUGCACAUCUUGACGGUACCUAAUCAGAAAGCCACGGCUAACUACGUGCCAGCCGCCGCAGUAAGAC
Molecule: ribosomal RNA, 516 nt
Filed under: uncultured bacterium
Lineage: Bacteria
Description: bacterial SSU rRNA
Rfam family: Bacterial small subunit ribosomal RNA
Source: RNAcentral